Molecule: non-coding RNA, 240 nt
Filed under: Lentilactobacillus buchneri
Lineage: Bacteria; Bacillati; Bacillota; Bacilli; Lactobacillales; Lactobacillaceae
Description: Lactobacillus buchneri T-box sequence
Rfam family: T-box leader
About the family: Uncharged tRNA acts as the effector for transcription antitermination of genes in the T-box leader family. T-boxes are found upstream of many aminoacyl-tRNA synthetase genes and some amino acid biosynthetic genes usually in Gram-positive bacteria.
Source: RNAcentral
AAAAAUGCAGCGAUGAGGAGAGUAGAUUCGUCUAACCAUUUCAGGGAGUCCCGUUAACUGAGAAGGGAUGAUGGUUAUCGAAUUGAAAGUAGCCUCUAAGCAGUAGAUGCGAAGCGAUGAGUAUCUUCGGUGUGCACCCCUUAAAGUGCCAGUGUAUCGUCAGCAAUGGCCGUACAUGAUGAGACGAUUUGUGUGAGCAGAUCGUGAAUUUAGGUGGUAACACGCGAAAGCGCCCUUAAU